Molecule: long non-coding RNA, 601 nt
Organism: Daucus carota subsp. sativus
Lineage: Eukaryota; Viridiplantae; Streptophyta; Magnoliopsida; Apiales; Apiaceae
Exons: 3
Source: RefSeq, a predicted model, not a curated record
UUCAUCAAGUCGGCAUGAUUAUAUUCUUGCAGAAACCAUUGUGGUGCAGUCAGAAUUUAGCAACAUCUUGCAUUUAAAGGGGAUAUUACUACUUUCUUGGACAGCUGCCUUACUUGAAUGGGGCUGGUUCUCUUAUAUACGAGAGGGAUUGCACCAGAAUCAAAGUCUGCAGCAUAGAGUGUGUACACCGCAUAUAAUGUCAUUUUCCAGAAAGAACAUCCAAAUUAAAGAGGAAGAGUGACGGCAAAAUUUGAAGCUGACUUUAACUCUUGAGCGGCAGAGGUGUUACUUAAAGGAGAUGUAAGUAAUGGUAGAUAUUCGAAGAUUGCAUGUAAGUUUUAGCACCGAGAGCAAGAGCUGUCGGUUUAGUCGGGCUACCUCUGGAGCUGAUGGUGAAACAUGAUCAGAAAAUUAAAUUUUGAUUCUUUUUAUCUAGGUGAUAAUAUGACCUAAGUGACCAUAAAAAUUUAUACUAUUUUGCAGCCACAUACUGUCACUGGAAUGUGGCAGAGCAUCCUUUCUUUUCCCUUUAUUAUCAUAUCCACUUGGUGAAGAAAUCUCUCAUUGAUAAAAUUCAUAUAUACCAUAUUCUUUGUUUGCA